GACGGCAACCAACCCCAUGGUUGGGUAUAGCCGCGGGAAACCGCGGGUAAUCCCCAGCGACGCACGGGGCCGGCAUCGGCCCCCUGCCAAAGCUCAGGCGCCGUGGGACGGGCCGUCGUGGUAUUAGGUAGUUGGCGGGGUAACGGCCCACCAAGCCGACGAUGCCUACCGGGCGUGCGAGCGUGGCCCGGCACACUGGGACUGAGACACUGCCCAGACUCCUACGGGAGGCUGCAGUCGAGAAUCUUCGGCAAUGGGCGCAAGCCUGACCGAGCGACGCCGCGUGGAGGACGAAGGCCUUCGGGUUGUAAACUCCUGUCGAGGGGGAAGAAGGGCCGAAAGGCCUUGACUGAUCCCUGGAGGAAGCACGGGCUAAGUUCGUGCCAGCAGCCGCGGUAAGACGAACCGUGCGAACGUUAUUCGGAAUCACUGGGCUUAAAGCGCGUGUAGGCGGGACGGCACGUCGGUCGCUGAAAUCCCCCGGCUUAACCGGGGAACUGGCGUCGAUACGACCGCCCUG
RNAcentral lists this ribosomal RNA (520 nucleotides) under uncultured Planctomycetota bacterium. RNAcentral's name for it is "bacterial SSU rRNA". It matches the Rfam family "Bacterial small subunit ribosomal RNA", at positions 117 to 643 of the family's 1533-position model. Lineage: Bacteria; Pseudomonadati; Planctomycetota. The record is from RNAcentral.